GAUGAACGCUGGCGGCGUGCUUAACACAUGCAAGUCGAACGAUGAAGCCCAGCUUGCUGGGUGGAUUAGUGGCGAACGGGUGAGUAACACGUGAGCAACCUGCCCCUGACUCUGGGAUAAGCGCUGGAAACGGCGUCUAAUACUGGAUAUGUCCCGUCACCGCAUGGGGUGCGGGUGGAAAGAUUUUUCGGUUGGGGAUGGGCUCGCGGCCUAUCAGCUUGUUGGUGGGGUAAUGGCUCACCAAGGCGUCGACGGGUAGCCGGCCUGAGAGGGUGACCGGCCACACUGGGACUGAGACACGGCCCAGACUCCUACGGGAGGCAGCAGUGGGGAAUAUUGCACAAUGGGCGGAAGCCUGAUGCAGCAACGCCGCGUGAGGGAUGACGGCCUUCGGGUUGUAAACCGCUUUUAGCAGGGAAGAAGCGAAAGUGACGGUACCUGCAGAAAAAGCACCGGCUAACUACGUG
This 467-nucleotide ribosomal RNA is filed under the name uncultured bacterium. RNAcentral's name for it is "partial 16S ribosomal RNA". It matches the Rfam family "Bacterial small subunit ribosomal RNA", at positions 28 to 507 of the family's 1533-position model. The record is from RNAcentral.